AAUCAACGCUGGCGGCGUGCCUCAGACAUGCAAGUCGAACGCGAAAGUCCCCUUCGGGGACGAAGUAGAGUGGCGCACGGGUGAGUAACACGUAGGUAAUCUACCUUCGGAUGGGGAAGUAACAACCGGAAACGGUUAGCUAAUACCGCAUAAUGCAGCGGCACCUAAUGGUGACAGUUGUUAAAGCGGGGAGUUGAAAGACCUCGCGUCUGAAGAGGAGCCUGCGGCGGAUUAGC
Molecule: ribosomal RNA, 236 nt
Filed under: uncultured bacterium
Lineage: Bacteria
Description: partial 16S ribosomal RNA
Rfam family: Bacterial small subunit ribosomal RNA
Source: RNAcentral